Cannabis sativa is the source of this 585-nucleotide long non-coding RNA. RefSeq lists it as uncharacterized. The record is from RefSeq and is a predicted model, not a curated record. Lineage: Eukaryota; Viridiplantae; Streptophyta; Magnoliopsida; Rosales; Cannabaceae. The transcript is spliced from 2 exons.
AUGAUUUCGUUUUUCUUUUUUCUCUGUUUUACAUAUAUUAUUUUUUUUCUUAAUAUCUAAUUUUUUUCUCCAUCUUUAAAGUUUGGGAUAAAUAAUCUGUGGGGAAGAAAUUUCUGAGUAAAACGCCGGGAUCGGUUGGUGUACUAAAUAUUUGGAGAUGACAAUCGACAAGUCUUGGACCACAGCAACAACCUGUGUAUGGUCAAAUGGGAGGAUCUCCACAACAGCCUAUGUAUGGAGCCUUUUUGAGUGCUCAGAGUCAGCAACAACAGCAACAACCAAUUUUGGUUCGCCCCCACCCUCGACAAUAUGUGGAGAUCUUGCCUACGCCGCAGACUGGACAACCUUAUUACCCUGCCCCGCCGGCUCAAUCCCGUGAGAAUAUUGAUGGUUCAAGACUUAGCUCAAAUGCAGACGAAUUUUUAGAAUUUACUGAUUUGAACAAUGAUAGUUAGGUUUUUUUUAAUUAUGUGUUAUGUUUUAAAGUUUAUUUAAAGACAAUUUCCUAAUUUUAUUUAAGAUAAUAUAAUUUUUAUUGUAAUGGACAAAUUAAUUUUAAUACUUAAUUUCUUAAUUAAUGUUUAA